CCAAGGCGACGAUUGGUAGCCGGACUGAGAGGUUGAACGGCCACAUUGGGACUGAGACACGGCCCAGACUCCUACGGGAGGCAGCAGUUAGGAAUAUUCGUCAAUGGAGGAAACUCUGAACGAGCAAUGCCGCGUGAAGGAUGACGGUCCUAUGGAUUGUAAACUUCUGUUCUUAGUGAAGAUAGUGACGGUAGCUAAGGAGCAAGCCACGGCUAACUAC
RNAcentral lists this ribosomal RNA (220 nucleotides) under uncultured bacterium. RNAcentral's name for it is "partial 16S ribosomal RNA". It matches the Rfam family "Bacterial small subunit ribosomal RNA", at positions 268 to 504 of the family's 1533-position model. The record is from RNAcentral.